AGAGUUUGAUUAUGGCUCAGGANNNACGCUGGCGGCGUGCUUAACACAUGCAAGUCGAACGGAUUUAUUUUAUGGAAGCCUUCGGGUGGAAGUAAAAUGAAUUAGUGGCGGACGGGUGAGUAACGCGUGGGUAACCUGCCUUGUACAGGGGGAUAACAACCGGAAACGGUUGCUAAUACCGCAUAAGCGCACAGUGUCGCAUGACACCGUGUGAAAAGAUUUAUCGGUACAAGAUGGACCCGCGUCUGAUUAGCUAGUUGGUGAGGUAAUGGCUCACCAAGGCAACGAUCAGUAGCCGGCUUGAGAGAGUGAACGGCCACAUUGGGACUGAGACACGGCCCAAACUCCUACGGGAGGCAGCAGUCGAGAGGCUUCGGCAAUGGGGGAAACCCUGACCGAGCGACGCCGCGUGCGGGAUGAAGGCUUUCGGGUCGUAAACCGCUGUCAGGAGGGGAGAAUCCCCUCGGAUCAACACCCCGAGGGUUGACGGUACCUCCAAAGAAAGCUCCGGCUAACUCCGUGCCAGCAGCCGCGGUAAUACGGAGGGAGCGAACGUUGUUCGGAUUCACUGGGCGUAAAGGGCGUGUAGGCGGCUUGGUAAGUCAGGGGUGAAAUCCCGCGGCUCAACCGCGGAGUUGCCUUUGAAACUGCCGAGCUUGAGGCCGUGAGAGGAGACUGGAAUUCCCAGUGUAGCGGUGAAAUGCAUAGAUAUUGGGAAGAACACCAGUGGCGANNNCGNNUCUCUGGCACGGAUCUGACGCUGAUGCGCGAAAGCUAGGGG
This 781-nucleotide ribosomal RNA is filed under the name uncultured bacterium. Its description in RNAcentral is "bacterial SSU rRNA". It matches the Rfam family "Bacterial small subunit ribosomal RNA", at positions 8 to 766 of the family's 1533-position model. The record is from RNAcentral.